GUAAGGGGUGGAGCUGACUGGUACUAAUAGGCCGAGGGCUUGUCCUCAGUUG
Molecule: ribosomal RNA, 52 nt
Filed under: Streptomyces sp. Root63
Lineage: Bacteria; Bacillati; Actinomycetota; Actinomycetes; Kitasatosporales; Streptomycetaceae
Description: partial 23S ribosomal RNA
Source: RNAcentral